This 440-nucleotide ribosomal RNA is filed under the name uncultured bacterium. Its description in RNAcentral is "partial 16S ribosomal RNA". It matches the Rfam family "Bacterial small subunit ribosomal RNA", at positions 338 to 795 of the family's 1533-position model. The record is from RNAcentral.
CCUACGGGUGGCUGCAGUGGGGGAUAUUGCACAAUGGGGGGAACCCUGAUGCAGCGACGCCGCGUGGGUGAAGAAGCGCCUCGGCGCGUAAAGCCCUGUCAGCAGGGAAGAAAAUGACGGUACCUGAAGAAGAAGCCCCGGCUAACUACGUGCCAGCAGCCGCGGUAAUACGUAGGGGGCAAGCGUUAUCCGGAUUUACUGGGUGUAAAGGGGGCGCAGACGGCGAUGCAAGCCAGGAGUGAAAGCCCGGGGCCCAACCCCGGGACUGCUCUUGGAACUGCGUGGCUGGAGUGCAGGAGGGGCAGGCGGAAUUCCUGGUGUAGCGGUGAAAUGCGUAGAUAUCAGGAGGAACUCCGAUUGCGAAGGCAGUUCACUGGACUGCAACUGACACUGAGGCUCGAAAGUGUGGGUAUCAAACAGGAUUAGAUACCCUGGUAGUC